This 465-nucleotide ribosomal RNA is filed under the name Vreelandella stevensii. Its description in RNAcentral is "partial 16S ribosomal RNA". It matches the Rfam family "Bacterial small subunit ribosomal RNA", at positions 338 to 795 of the family's 1533-position model. The record is from RNAcentral. Lineage: Bacteria; Pseudomonadati; Pseudomonadota; Gammaproteobacteria; Oceanospirillales; Halomonadaceae.
CCUACGGGUGGCAGCAGUGGGGAAUAUUUGACAAUGGGGGGAACCCUGAUCCAGCCAUGCCGCGUGUGUGAAGAAGGCCCUCGGGUUGUAAAGCACUUUCAGUGAGGAAGAACGCCUGGUGGUUAAUACCCAUCAGGAAAGACAUCACUCACAGAAGAAGCACCGGCUAACUCCGUGCCAGCAGCCGCGGUAAUACGGAGGGUGCGAGCGUUAAUCGGAAUUACUGGGCGUAAAGCGCGCGUAGGUGGCUUGAUAAGCCGGUUGUGAAAGCCCCGGGCUCAACCUGGGAACGGCAUCCGGAACUGUCAAGCUAGAGUGCAGGAGAGGAAGGUAGAAUUCCCGGUGUAGCGGUGAAAUGCGUAGAGAUCGGGAGGAAUACCAGUGGCGAAGGCGGCCUUCUGGACUGACACUGACACUGAGGUGCGAAAGCGUGGGUAGCAAACAGGAUUAGAUACCCCUGUAGUC